CCAAAAUAGACUUCCAAAAUUAAAAAAUGAAAUUGCAAAUUAGACAGAUCGAAGAAAAGGUAAUGUCUAUAAAGUUGCCAAAUACUGCUUAUUUGUGGGCUUAAACAAAAGCCAUGUCGUGACCCCGAAGGAAUUAGCUCCUCGCCCUUUGGCUAGGAAAGGGAAAACAAGCAAGAGUGUGCAUUUUGCAAGCAGCCUUAUCUGGGAAGUUGUUGGGUUUGCACCAUUUGAGAAGAGAAUUAUUGAGCUGUUUAAAGUUGGCAAGGACAAGUGUGCUUUGAAGGUAGCAAAGAGAAAGUUGGGCACUCACAAGAGGGCCAAGAAGAAGAGAGAAGAGAUGUCUAACGUUCUCUAGAAAAUGAGGGUGCUGGAGGUGAUGAAAAGAAGUAAAGUUUCUGUUGUCAGAGUGAAAAUCAAAACUUUGGGGGGUAGCAUUUGUUUUGGAUUAGUUAAUACUGUUUCAUUUAGCUUCCAAUCUAUUUUGUUUCUUAAAACAUAAAAUUAUGGUUUGAAAUUGAUUUUAUGUUGGUAUUACCACAUCUUUGGUUAUUUUAUUAGUGAAAAAAACUAUCAAUGAUAAGUACACCAC
Molecule: long non-coding RNA, 589 nt
Filed under: Olea europaea subsp. europaea
Lineage: Eukaryota; Viridiplantae; Streptophyta; Magnoliopsida; Lamiales; Oleaceae
Source: RNAcentral